Herpailurus yagouaroundi (jaguarundi) is the source of this 555-nucleotide long non-coding RNA. RefSeq lists it as uncharacterized. NCBI's taxonomy places the organism in Eukaryota, Metazoa, Chordata, Mammalia, Carnivora, Felidae. The transcript has 2 exons. The record is from RefSeq and is a predicted model, not a curated record.
CCCUCCGCGGGAGGGACCUCGGCGCCUAGAACGACGAAGACAGGCCGCACUUACUUGUUUGUGCAGCGCCGGCUUCACCUGGCCGCGAGUUUGAUUUCAGGGUGUGGCCUCAGGGUAACACUGAGGCCUGACCUCAUGAGCCAACCCCUGAUCUCCUGUGGCCCGCUCCCUCCAGGAAGCUGCCUGCUGAGCCUAGGCUGAUGGGACCAUGUGGCAGGGCAGGGGCAGCUGGUACACACGUAUGGCUUUCCCCACAGAUUAAGUACCUAGCGAUGUAGGAGCACUGGCUGACUGCUGGCUACUGGAAGCAGGGUGUGCUGGGUGGGAGGGUUCGGGGAAGUGGUUGUGGGGGAUUUGAAAUGAACGGUGAACCAAGCUAGAAUGAACUGUGCUGCGUUGUUGAACCUAGAGUCAACACCCUUAAAGAUUUUUUCCUGACUCACAAAUGUGCGCGUGAAUUAUUUUCUUUUAAUGCAAAUAACUUCUAUACCCAAACCAGAGCCCCAAGCAGUUUGAACUGUUGAGCUACAAUAAAGUGUGGGCAUUAGAAUAUUA